Molecule: RNA transcript, 1459 nt
Organism: Symphalangus syndactylus (siamang)
Lineage: Eukaryota; Metazoa; Chordata; Mammalia; Primates; Hylobatidae
Gene name: putative pleckstrin homology domain-containing family M member 1P
Source: RefSeq, a predicted model, not a curated record
GGAAGCGCGUCGCUGUCUCCUGCUGCGCCCAGGCCGGCGGGCCCAGCAGCUGCGAACCGCCGGCGCACCACCUGUUUCCGCGCCCGGGGACUUCCCCGGAGGGUCUCAGAAGUGUGGGGUCGGUCGCUUGGCUUCCCCUGGCGUCAGCGACCCAGGGUAACCUCCUCCACUGCUGCCUGCCGUGCAGGCCUGCCUGUGGGAGAGCCACGUGUGCCGCGCUCUGGGCACAGCCUUGGAAAGUCAAGACCGCGACGGCAGCAGAGCAGAAUGAAUUGCUCAGAAAGAAUUGGCCAAUGUCAACCACAUAUCUGUUUCCAUGGAAACUGCAGCAAUAUUACUUUGAAUAGUUUCAUUUGUGAAUGUGAUGAACAAUUUUCAGUGCCUGGUGGUUCCCCCAGAUCUGCAGGCAGGCCCUGAAGUUUCUGCUGCAGAUCCGGGCCCAGCCCCUCAUCAACCUGCAGAUGGCGAACGCGUCUCUGUACGAGCAUGUGGAGCAGAUGCACCUCAUCGGAGGGGCCAGGAGCAGCUAAAGCUCCUGGGGGAUUACCUGGGCCUGUGCUGGAGCGGCGCCCUGAAGGAGCUCAGCAAGAGGCUCAACCACAGGAAUUAUCUCUUGGAGUCUCCGCAUAGGUUCAGUGUUGCUGACCUCCAGCAGAUCACAGAUGGGGUGUCUGAAGGAUUCCUCAAGGCCCUGAUCGAAUUUGCCUCCCAGCACAUCUACCACUGCGACCUGUGCACCCAGCGCAGCUUCAUCUGCCAGAUCUGCCAGCACCAUGACAUCAUCUUCCCCUUUGAGUUUGACACCACAGUCAGUUAUUGCUCAUUAUCAGCAACCUCUCAAUGGAAAAAUUCAUCCAGACCUUCCUGCAACCCAUGUGGGCGUGGAAAACUGAACUGGGAACAUUAGUUCUUUUUCUGUCAGUGUCCACUGGCCGGGAUUCAGCCCUGAAUGGGCCUGGGGGUGUGCCGAGUACAAGGCCGUCUUCCACCAGAGCUGCCAGGCUGUGGUGAAGAAGGGCUGCCCCCACUGUGCUCGCUGACGCAAGUACCAGGAACAGAACGUUUUCGCCUGGUGCCCCUCUGCUGACCCUGCUCUGAAGGCCGGGGGUGAGUGUGGCUCAGCCAUCCCAGCUGGGUUUGCUAUCAGCCCAGGAUACUCACCGUGUCACAGCUGUGUCCCUUUGUCAGGAAGACCCUCAGAUGUGACCAGAGCACUGGCCUCCCAGAGAAAGCCCAGGAAGUCCCCGUGAUGUCCCCUGGCCCUCCCCCAACCCUCUGCUGCAGGAGGCGUGGCCACCACCAGAUGCUCCCUGUCUCGGGGCAGACAGGGCCUUUACUCACCAGGCCCUGGCUCACCAGCGUCCCGGCGCCUCCGUGAGGGCUGCCCAAACACUGUGGAAAGGGGACUUGGGGAGCAUUUUCAAUUCCACAUUCCUGAUUAAAAGGUCUAGUUUUUUAA